Molecule: long non-coding RNA, 1227 nt
Filed under: Homo sapiens (human)
Lineage: Eukaryota; Metazoa; Chordata; Mammalia; Primates; Hominidae
Description: HSALNT0336773
Source: RNAcentral
CAUAUAAUCACUUUGUGAGGUGAAUUGUGACCUCCAAAAAGACAUGUUUAAAGUUCUAAUCUUUAAUAUAUCUGAGUGUAACCUUAUAAGGAAAUAGGGUCUUUGCAGAUGUAAUUAAGAUAUACAUGACUAUGAGGUCAUACUGGAGCAAGCUGGUUUCUUGAUCCAACAUGACUGGUGUCUUUAUAAGAGAAGAGCCAUGAAUAUGUCCAGAAGUGAGGGAAGAGUAUGUUAAAACACCCGAGAUGAAGUAUCUGAGCGUGUAAGAAAUUCCAUCACAUUCUUCUGGUCAAAAAUGGGUUUAGACUCCGGGUCUCUGAAAACCAGUGUGGGAAUUUACAGUCUCUCCCAUAACUGCCUCAGGUUGGAUUCCUACCCUGUCUUCAGGACUUGAAUUGCAACAGCAGUGACUGAGGAAGGACAGCAAGCACAGUGAAUCAAGACUGAGUUUUGACACAGUAUCCAAAUCAACAUGGCUUCAAUCUUUCUUCCUGAGUAAUACAACUAACCUAAAGAAUUUGGGGCCAAAUUUAGAAAGAAUAUUUAAAAGCAACCUCAGCUCCAGCACCACUCCCUACUCCAGCCUGAGAAAUAGUUGUUCUUAUUUCCUUUGUAUUCAACCUUGGGAAAACAGUUAAUAUCAUCUCUGUAUUAGUUGUAAUCUCUUAAUCCCCAUUGUCUUCUUUGACCUGAGGCAUGUGUCUCCCAGUAAUCUCUUCAUUUAGUAAUGAUCAUCUGCAAUUUCUUCUUGUAAUGCUAAUAAUCCUUGGAUUCCACACAGGGCAGAGGGCAGUGACUUCCCAAACCACUGUCUUAUCUUCUUUUCAAACACAUUAUCAAGUUAAAACAAUUCUCUACCCACUUAGAGACUGAAGUUAUUUUUGUGUCCACUAUCCUGUUCUUCAACACACAUGUUUUUCUCAAAAGGCUUUAAAAAGUAAUAACUGUGCUGAUCAUGUUUGAUUUUUUUUUUUUUUUUUAGCCAUUUGGUGACAUCACAUGAAUCCAAAGUGAACUAGCAUGCCACAACCUAAUCUGCAUUUCAGGAAGUUACAAAAUUUCAUUCAAAUUGCAGUUUAAACUUUUCUGUGUGAGGACACAUACCCACUACCAUACUUACCCAAUCCCCAAAAAAGGAGAGAGAACUAAAUAAAACAACAUCAGAAUACAUGCUGCCUGUAACAGAAAAAAAAGAAAGAAAAGAGAGAGAGAGAAACAGAGAAAGAG